Molecule: ribosomal RNA, 894 nt
Filed under: Laciniporus arabicus
Lineage: Eukaryota; Dinophyceae
Description: LSU rRNA
Rfam family: Eukaryotic large subunit ribosomal RNA
Source: RNAcentral
ACCCGCUGAAUUUUAGCAUAUAAGUAAGCGGAGGAAAAGAAACUAAAUAGGAUUCCCUAAGUAAUGGCGAAUGAACAGGGAUCAGCUUAGUGUGGAAAUUGGGGCUUGCAGCCCUGAGUUGUAGCCUGGCGAUGUACCACCAACAGGGGCACGGAUGUAAGCCUCUUGGAAAAGAGCACCAUUGAGGGUGAGAGUCCCGUUUGGCAUCUGUAGGCCCCAGUGCACGGUGUGCUUUCUAAGAGUCAUGUUCCUUGGGAUUGGAGCGUAAAUGGGUGGUAAAUUUCAUCUACAGCUGAAUAUUGCUUCGAGACCGAUAGUGAACAAGUACCAUGAGGGAAAGGUGAAAAGGACUUUGAAAAGAGAGUUAGAAGUGCUUGAAAUUGCUGAAAGGGAAGUGAAUGGAACCAGUGCAACCUGGCAAGAUUGCUGCAUGUCAAAGUGAUUGCUGGCUGCCCAAGCGCAAGCGCGGCAAACAGUUAUGAAUGAAGUGUGUGUGGUGUUUCUUGCUUAGUGCGUCAGGGCCAGUUCAGAGUUGAGGAAAAUCUUGUGCAUAUGGAAGCUUGCCUUUGGGUGGUGAAUGUGCGCAGUGGAACGUGACUUUGGAUUUGGCGUUGAUGACAGGGUUCCAUCCGACCCGUCUUGAAACACGGACCAAGGAGUCUAACAUUUGUGCAAGUUCACAGGUGGGAAAACCUGUUUGCAUAAUGAAAGUGAUUGCUGGGAUCAUUGCACCAGCAACUGACCAAUUAAUUGAAAGAGGUUUGAGUAUGAGCACACCUGUUAGGACCCGAAAGAUGGUGAACUAUGCCUGCGAAGGGCAAGCUCAGGGGAAACUCUGAUGGAGGCUCGCAGCGAUACUGACGUGCAAAUCGUUCGUCAAACGUGGGUAUAGGG